GACGAACGCUGGCGGCGUGCUUAACACAUGCAAGUCGAACGGAAAGGCCCUGCUUUUGUGGGGUGCUCGAGUGGCGAACGGGUGAGUAACACGUGAGUAACCUGCCCUUGACUUUGGGAUAACUUCAGGAAACUGGGGCUAAUACCGGAUAGGAGCUCCUGCUGCAUGGUGGGGGUUGGAAAGUUUCGGCGGUUGGGGAUGGACUCGCGGCUUAUCAGCUUGUUGGUGGGGUAGUGGCUUACCAAGGCUUUGACGGGUAGCCGGCCUGGGAGGGUGACCGGCCAACAUUGGGCUUGGGUUCCGGCCAGGAUCCCUACGGGAGGAAGAGGUGGGGAUAAUUGCCCAAGGGGCGGAGGCUGGAGGCAGCAACGCGGCGGGCGGGAGGCCGGCCUUCGGUUUGUAAACCGCUUUCGCUGUGACGAAGCGUGAGUGACGGUAAUGGGUAAAGAAGCACCGGCUAACUACGUG
This 468-nucleotide ribosomal RNA is filed under the name uncultured bacterium. Its description in RNAcentral is "partial 16S ribosomal RNA". It matches the Rfam family "Bacterial small subunit ribosomal RNA", at positions 28 to 507 of the family's 1533-position model. The record is from RNAcentral.